UGGGGAAUCUUGCACAAUGGGGGAAACCCUGAUGCAGCGACGCCGCGUGAGUGAAGAAGUAAUUCGUUACGUAAAGCUCUAUCAGCAGGGAAGAAAGAAGACGGUACCUGAGAAAGAAGCCCCGGCUAACUACGUGCCAGCAGCCGCGGUAAUACGUAGGGGGCAAGCGUUAUCCGGAUUUACUGGGUGUAAAGGGAGCGUAGACGGCGGAGCAAGUCUGAAGUGAAAGCCCGCGGCUUAACCGCGGAACGGCUUUGGAAACUGUACUGCUAGAGUAUCGGAGAGGUAAGCGGAAUUCCUAGUGUAGCGGUGAAAUGCGUAGAUAUUAGGAGGAACACCAGUGGCGAAGGCGGCUUACUGGACGGAGACUGACGUUGAGGCUCGAAAGCGUGGGGAGCAAACAGG
Molecule: ribosomal RNA, 405 nt
Filed under: uncultured bacterium
Lineage: Bacteria
Description: bacterial SSU rRNA
Rfam family: Bacterial small subunit ribosomal RNA
Source: RNAcentral